UACGUAGGGGGCAAGCGUUGUCCGGAAUUAUUGGGCGUAAAGAGCGUGUAGGCGGUCCGGUCAGUCGGCUGUGAAAGUCCAGGGCUCAACCCUGGGAUGCCGUUCGAUACUGCCGGACUAGAGUUCGGAAGAGGCGAGUGGAAUUCCCGGUGUAGCGGUGAAAUGCGCAGAUAUCGGGAGGAACACCGAUGGCGAAGGCAGCUCGCUGGGACGUUACUGACGCUGAGACGCGAAAGCGUGGGGAGCGAACAGG
Molecule: ribosomal RNA, 253 nt
Filed under: uncultured bacterium
Lineage: Bacteria
Description: partial 16S ribosomal RNA
Rfam family: Bacterial small subunit ribosomal RNA
Source: RNAcentral